RNAcentral lists this long non-coding RNA (8784 nucleotides) under Homo sapiens (human). Its description in RNAcentral is "non-protein coding LINC00574:9". The record is from RNAcentral. Lineage: Eukaryota; Metazoa; Chordata; Mammalia; Primates; Hominidae.
CUCUCCCGCUGAAGCGGGUUCCAAGGCCACCGUGAGGGGGACCAUCCAUCCAGGAGAGUACUGGGCAGGCUGCAAAUGUCUGUGUUAAAACAGCUCUGCUGGGCUAAGACAGGACAGAAGCAGACAGCAGGUGGAUGAGACACAAUUUCCUAUCCAGCAGAACCUGCAGCAAGCUCCACAGCACCCUCCAUGGGCUCAGUCUUGCUCCCGGGAAGAUGGUUAAUUCCAUCAGCUCCUUCUGGCCGGCAGCAGGAAGAGUGGCCCUGUGUGUGCCAGGCCCUGCAGUCUCUCCUCUCAGCUGGUGUCUCCAGUGAGGGACCUGAGUCAUCGCACACAUGAGCCUGUGCUCAGCCUGCACAUCUCCCGCCUCCCACCAGCUGCUCCUCAACUGCCAGGGCCAGACUGUGGCAAAAUCUCACUCCUCUGCCGAUGCUGGGGUUUCCCUCGUGUCUGGGAGGUGGUGUGCUUGGUGGCCUGAGCACUGCAGUGAAUCCAUGUUUCCCUCCCAGCACCCUGUUCUGUCCUCCAACUUGGCCGACAGCUCUGGCCAGGGACGCAGCCCAGCUGGUGCCCACCCCGCACUCUGUCCAUUUCAUAAGAGCCCUUGGUUUCCUCACUUCCCUCAGAUUUUGCCAAGAGAAUGGUCCUGGUGUGGCCCAGAAAGGCCAGCGGGGUGCAGCCUGGGACUGAAAGCAGAGGCGGCUCUGGUGGGGAAAAAGUAGCUCUCCCAGCCUAGCCCUACUGGUGGGCGGCACCUCCUGGCUCCAGGCCAUCUUUUGUCCCAGUCCUAGGUAAGAAAAACACAAACAAAAGCCAGUCCCAUGGCACUCGAGAAGCAGGAGGCCGUUCCCUGACAGCAACAUGCUGUGUGCACAGACACACGGGUGGACAGGAGGCAGAGCUCGGGGUUGCUGCGGAGCGGGCAGGACACUGGAGCGGCAGGCAGUGCGGACCCGCCGGGCAGCCGUGCACGGUUGUCGUCCUCAGCGGCAGGAGCCAGUUUGUUGCUCAGGGCCUUGUCUUUUUACAAAGAGCCCCAGGCCCCGGGGGCUUCUCUGGGUGCCUCUUUGCUGCCAUGUCUGCACGCGGGCGGAGAGCAGACCAGGCUACCGACCCUCUCGCUUUGCUGUCUUCACGUGGAAAAGCCAGUGUCGUAGCCCCAAAGGAGGGGAAACUGUAUUGAUUUGGGGAGCCUCUAUGUUGAUUUCAAAACAGAUUGUCUCCUGUGUUCUCAAAGACUGGAAGCGAACCCCACAACCGCCUUAGGCCACAAAAGCUUUAUCCUUUCUAAUUAGCAUCCCUGUGACCUGCUCUGCGCCCUGCAGAUAUUUUGCUCAGCCAGCCAGAAGGAGGGAGGCCAGACACCAGCCCCCACAGACCUGCGGCUGCGACCCCCUGCCUGGGGACGAUGGGGUCGGGGUCCAGUAGCUGCCCCAGAAACAAGUGGGGCUGCAGGAGGCUGAUGGUGAGCUUGGAGGUUGGCAGAAUUCUAAAUCUGGGCACUGCAGGGUCCCCACAGGUCACGACCCUACUCUGCUCCACCCAGGCUCCGGAGGACCUGAGCAGGAACCUCUGCAGGGGGGGCCCGGGGCUCCCUGUCCUCUCAGCAGCCGGCAGUGCUCCCUGACAGCCCGGGCCUCUCCCUCCAGUAGUUCGGUAGUUUGCUGUCACCAACAUGGCUGGGCCUGGGACAGGCUCCUCCUCUCCCUCCAGAAGCCAGGCAGUCCCUCCUGCCUCAGUUUCUCAGACUAGGCCGCCUCUCCCAUCGCGAGACACUGAAGACCCUCAGCUGUUUCCAUCUGCCCAGUCUGACUGCUGGAUCGCCCUCUGUGUGCGUUGGUUUGCUGUGUUCUUGCUACUCGCCCUUGGAUAAGAUUUCUUCUCUACUCAUGAAGCUGCGUGUCCUGGAGGGCAGGGCCGCACCUCACAUGCAUGUUGCCCACAUAGCUCAGCAACAGAUGCUCUCACGCUUGUUAAAAGUAAAACCGGGCCAGGCGCAGUGGCUCACGCCUGUAAUCCCAGCACUUUGGGAGGCCGAGGUGGGUGGAUCACCUGAAGUCAGGAGUUUGAGACUAGCCUGACCAACAUGGAGAAAUCCCGUCUCUACUAAAAAUACAAAAAAUUAGCUGGGCGUGGUGGCACAUGCCUGUAAUCCCAGCUACUCGGAGGCAGGAGAAUUGCUUGAACCCAGGAGGCGGAGGUUGCGGUGAGCCAAGAUCACGCCAUAGCAAUUGCACUCCGGCCUGGGCAACAAGAGCAAAACUCUGUCAAAAAGAAAAAAAAAAAAAAAAAAAAGUAAAACCAAUUAGCCAAUGUAAAGGAGUUUAACUGAGCAAAGAGUGAUUCACAAAUCAGGCAGCCUCCCGACCCAGAGUGGACUCAGAGACUCCAGCACAGCCAUGUGGUGGAAGAAAAUUUAAGACCGAAAAAGGAAAGAGAUGUACAGAAAAUGGAAAUGAGGUACGGAAACAGCCAGAUUUGUUAAGCUUGGGGUUUGCAGUAGUUGAACAUGGUUGAAGAGCUGGCCACCUUAGAUUGGCCAAAACUCAGCGAUUGGCACAAGAGUAGGCUACGGUCUGUUUACAAUUCCAUUUAGGUUACUGUUCGUGAUGUACAGAGAAAGCUUUAGGUCGAAAUUAAAAUACACAAGGAGGCAGCUUUAGGCCACACUUGAUUUGAAAGCUAGAGAGGUCUGGUGGAGGCUGCAUUCUCCUCUCCAGGAAGUACAUUUGUGGGCUGCUAAGCCACAAGAUAAGGAAGAACACAAGACAGCUAGAGAAGGCCACGAGCUGGACCCAAUACCCACAUAUUCAGGAGUAAACACUGGUGCUGUGAAAGGGUCAGUGCCUCCAUAAACGUCUCCACAGACAUAGAGCUCUGAGCGGACACGGACCACUACACACAACAGAGCUACACACAACAGAGCUUGACAAGCCACAGAGCUCCACAAACCGCAGAGCUCUCUACAGACACAGACAUCUCCUCACCACAGAGCUUUCCAAACCAAAGAGCUCUCCACAUACACAGAGCUCUCCACACCACAGAUCUCUCCACAGACACUGAGCUCUCCUCAACACAGAGCUCUCUACUGACACAGACAUAUUUAUAGACACAGAUCUCCACACAAGACUCUCCACACCACGGAGCACUCUACACUACAGAGCUCACCAGACCACAGAAUUCUCCACAGACACAGAGCUCUCCACGCUACAGAGCUCUCCAAAGACACAGAACUCUCCACACCAGAGAGCUCUCCACAGACAGAGUUCUCCACACAACGUAGCUCUUUACAGACACAGAGCUCUCCACACCACUUAACUCUCAACAGUCACAGAAAUCUCCACACCACAGAACUCUCCUCAGUCACAGAGCUACCCACACCACAUAGCUCUCUGCACUACAGAGCUUGCCACAUUCACAGACCUCUCCACCAACACAGAGCUCUCCAGACACACAACUCUCCAUACAACAGAGAUCUCCACAGACACAGAGCUUGCCACACCACAGAACUCUCCACAGAAACAGAGAUCCCCACAGCGCAGAGUUCACAGACACAGGGCUCUCCACACCACUGGGUUCUCCACAGACAUAGAACUCUCCACAGAUACAAAACUCCCCACAGACACAGGACUCUCCACAGACACAGAGCUCUUCAUAGACGCAGAGCUCUCCCCACCACAGAGCUCUUCAGACCACACACCUCUCCAUAGACACAGAACUUUCCACAGACUUAGAAUUCUCCACAGACACAGAGAUCCCCACACCACAUAGUUAUCCACACUACAGAGCUCUCCACAGACGCAGAGCUCUCCACAGACACAGGACUGUCCACACCACAGAGCUCUUCAAACCAUGGAGCUCUUCACACUGCAGAGCUCUCCACACCACAGGGCUCUCCACAGACACUGAGAUCUCCUCAAUACAGAGCUCUCCACUAACACAGAUCUAUUUACAGACACAGAUCUCCACACCACAGAGCUGUCCACACCACAGAACUCUUCACAGACACAGAGCUCUCCACAUACAUGGAGCUCUCCAUAGACACAAACCUCACCACAUACACAGAGCUCUUGACACCACAGAGCUCUCUGCAGACAAAGAGCUCAACACACCACAGAGCUCUCCACACCACAUAGUUCUCCACAUACAGAGAGCCCUCCACAUACACAGAAUUCUUCACAUACAGAGCUCUUCACACCACAGAGCUCUCCAGAUAGAGAGUUCUUCACACCACAGAGCUCUUCACACCAUAGAGCUCUCUACAACACAGAACUCUUCACACCGUGGAACACUCCACAGACACAGAGAUCACCACACCACAGAGCUCUCCACAGACACAGAGAUCCCCACACCACAUAGUUAUCCACACUACAGAACUCUCCACACCGCAGAGCUCUUCACAGACAUACAGCUCUCCACAGACACAGGGCUCUCCAUACCACUGAGCUCUCCACAGAAAGAACUCUUCACAGACAUAGAGUCUCCACAUCACUGAGCUCUUCACAGACACAGAACUUUCCACAGACACGAGACUCUCCACAGACACAGAGGUCUCCACACCAUAGACCUCUCCACACCACAGAGCUCUUCACACCACAGAGUUCCUCAUACCACAGAGCUCUCCACAGACACAGAGCUCUCCACAGACACAGGGCUCUCCACACCACAGGGCUCUCCACAGACACUGAGAUCUCCUCAACACAGAGGUCUUCACUGACACAGAUCUAUUUACAGACACAGAUCUCCACACCACACAGUUCUCCACACCACAAAGCUCUCCAAAGACACACAGUUCUUCACACCACAGAGCUCUCCGCAGACACACAGCUCUCUCUACAGACACACGUCUCUCUACAGACACAAACCUCUUCACAUACAUGGAGCUCUUCACACCACAGAGCUCUUCACACCACAGAGUUCCCCACAUUAAGAGAGCUCCCCACAUCACAUCACAGAGUUCUUCACACCACAGAGCUCUCCACGUAGGAAGUUCUUCAUGCCUCAGAGCUCUUCACAGCACAGACCUCUCAACAUACACCGAGCUCUCCAGACCACAGAACUCCCCACAUCACGGAACUCCCCACAUACCCAGAGCUGUCCACAUCACAGCGCUCUGUACACCACUUAGCUCUCCACAGACACAGAGCUCGCUACAAUACAGAGCUCUCCAGACCACAGAAUUCUCCAAAUACACAGAGCUUUCCACACCACAGAACUCUCCACACCACAGAGCUCUUCACACCACAGCGCUCUCCUCACCAUAGGGCUCUCCACAGACACAGGGGUGUCCACUCCACAGAUCUCUUCACACCACAGAGCUCUCCACAUACACAGAGGUCUCCACACCACAGAGCUCUUUACUGACACAGAACUCUCCACACCACAGCAAUCUCCACAGACACAGAGCUCUUCAUACCACAGAGCUCUUCACAUACACAGAGCUCUUCACAGACAUAGAGCUCUCCACAGAGAUGUCCGCACAGCAGAGCACUCCACAUACACACAGCUGUUCACACCACAGAGAUCUCCAGACCACAGAAUUCUCCAUAGACACAGAAGGCUCUGCACACACAGAACUCUCCACACCACAGAGCUCUUCACAUAUGCAGAGCUUUCCACAGAUAGAGCUCUCCACAGAGAUGUCCACACAACAGAGCUCUACAGAGCUGUUCAUGCCACAGAGAUCUCCAAACCACAGUUCUCCAUAGACACAGAACUCUUGACAUACGUGGAGCUCUCCACAUUACAGAGCUCUUCACAUAUGCAGAACACUUCACACCACAGAGCUCUCCAAACCACAGAGCUCUCCCCAACAAAGCUCUCCACAACACAGAGCACUCCACAGACACAGAGCUCCCCACACCACAGAGCUCUCCACACCACAGAGCUCUCCACAUACACAGAACUCACCACAGACACAGAGCUCUCCACACAACAGAGCUCUCCACAGUCACAGAGAUCUCCACCACAGAGCUCUCCACAUGCCCAGGGAUCUCCACACCACAGAGCUCUCCACAUCACAGAGCUCUCCACAUACAGAGUCUAGCUCUCCACACCACAGAGCUCUUCACACCACAGAGUUCUUCACAUACACAGAACUCUCCACAACACAAAGCCCUCAACAGACAGCGCUCUCCACACCACAGAGCUCUCCACAUACACAGAGCUCUCCACAUACACAGAGCUCACCACAGACACAGAGCUCACCACAGACACAGAGCUCUCCACAUACACAGAGCUCACCACAGACACAGAGCUCACCACAGACACAGAGCUCUCCACAUACACAGAGCUCACCACAGACACAGAGCUCACCACAGACACAGAGCUCUCCACAUACACAGAGCUCACCACAGACACAGAGCUCACCACAGACACAGAGCUCUCCACAUACACAGAGCUCACCACAGACACAGAGCUCACCACAGACACAGAGCUCUCCACAUUCACAGAGCUCUCCACACCACAGAGCUCUCUACAUACACAGAGCUCUCCACAUCACAGAACUCUCCACAUACAGAGAGCUCUCCACAAACACAGAGCUCGCCACACCACAGAGAUCUCUAAACCACAGAGCUGUCCACAUACAAAGAGCUCUUUACACCACAGAGAUCUCCACACAGCAGAGGUCUCCACAAACACAGAGCUCUCCACACCACAGAGCUCUUGACACCACAGAGCUCAACACACCAAAGAGCUUUCCACAGACACAGAGCUCUCCACAGACACAGAGCUCUCCACAGACACAGAGCUUCCAGACCACAGAGCUCUCCACAACACGGUUUUUCACACCACAGAACUCUUUAUACCACAGAGCUCUCCACAGACACAGAGCUCUCAAGGCCACAGAGCUGUCCACACCACAGAGCUCUCCACAGACACAGAGCUCUCCACAUACACAACUUUCCACGCCACAGAGGUCUCCACAUACAGAGCUCUCCACAGACACAGAGCUUUCCACACCACAGACACCCAUGUACUUACCCCUAGGUCUGACUCCCCUUAGCAUAGACCCCCAACACUUAAAUUUUCUGCACUCACACUGGCAGCUGUGACUUCAGCGGCACUGAUGCCCUCUACACUGACCCCCUCAUCAAUGACAUUUGCAGCACUGACCUUCCCAGCACUGACCCCUCUAGCACUGACCCCCUGCACUGACCCUUUUUGCACUGACCACUGCCUGCAAUGAGCACCCCUCCCCUGAUACCACAGCACUGACACCCAUACGACCGACCUCCCCAGCAGGUACAUCUCCUGCACUGACCUCCACAGCACUGACACCCCCAGCACUGACUCCCCCAGCACUGACACCCUCGGCACUGACACCCCCGGCACUGGCACCCCCGGCACUGACACCCCCAACACUGACACCCCAGCACUGACACCCCCAGCACUGACCCCCCAGCACUGCUCCCUCAGCACUGAUCCCCCCAGCACUGACACCCCAGCACUGACCCCCCAGCACUGCUCCCUCAGCACUCAUCCCCCCAGCACUGACAUCCCCAGCACUGACCCCCCAGCACAGCUCCCUCAGCACUGAUCCCCCCAGCACCGACGUCCAAGCACUGACUUCCCCAGCACUGACCUCCCAGGUACUGACAACCCAGGUACUGAGCCCCCAUCACUGACACUCCAGCACUGACCCCCCACCAGAAUUGCUCCCUCAGCACUAAUCCCCCCACCACUGAUGCCCCCAGCACUGAUGCCCCCAGGUAUGGGUAUGACACCCAUACAACUAACACCCCAACACUGACACUGCCAGCACUAAUGUCCCCAGCACUAACAGCCCUGCACUGACACUCCCAGCACGAACACCCCAACACUGAGACCCCCAGCACUCAUACCUCCAGCACUGACAGCCCUGCACUGACACUCCCAGCACUGACACCCUCAACACUGAGACCCCCAGCACUCAUACCUCCAGCACUGACACCCUCAACACUGAGAACCCCAGCACUCAUACCUCCAGCACUGACACCCCCACCACUGAGACCCCCAGCACUCAUACCUCCAGCACUAACAGCCGGGCACUGACACUCCCAGCACUGACACCCCCACCACUGAGACCGCCAGCACUCAUACCUCCAGCACUGACAGCCCCAACACUGAGACCCCCAGCACUGAGACCCCCAACACUGACACCCCCAGCACUGACACCCCUAACACUGAGACCCCCAGCACUGACACCCCCAGCACUCAUACCUCCAGCACUGACAGCCCCAACAGUGAGACCCCCAGCACUUAUACCUCCAGCACUGACACCCCCAACACUGAGACCCCCAGCACUGACACCCCCAGCACUGACACCCCCAGCAUUCAUACUUCCAGCACUGACAGCCCCAACACUGAGACCCCCAGCACUGACACCCCCAACACUGAGACCCCCAGCACUCAUACCUCCAGCACUGACACCCCCAACACUGAGACCCCCAACACUGAGACUCCCAGCACUCAUACCUCCAGCACUGACAGCCCUGCACUGACACUCCCAGCACUGAUACCCCCAACACUGAGACCCCCAGCACUCAUACCUCCAGCACUGACACCCCCAACACUGAGACCCCCAACACUGAGACCCCCAGCACUCAUACCUCCAGCACUGACAGCCCUGCACUGACACUCCCAGCACUGACACCCCCAACACUGAGUCCCCCAGCACUCAUACCUCCGGCACUGGCAUCCCCAACACUGAGACCCCCAGCACUAACACCCCAACACUGACGUCCCCAGCACUGACACCCCAACAUUGACGUCCGCAGCACUGACACCCCUGGCACUGAGACC